Molecule: ribosomal RNA, 763 nt
Filed under: Trapeliopsis sp. S40723
Lineage: Eukaryota; Fungi; Ascomycota; Lecanoromycetes; Trapeliales; Trapeliaceae
Description: SSU rRNA
Rfam family: Eukaryotic small subunit ribosomal RNA
Source: RNAcentral
AUUAAAUCAGUUAUCGUUUAUUUGAUAGUACCUACUUACUUGGAUAACCGKGGUAAUUCUAGAGCUAAUACAUGCUAAAAACCCCGACUUCGGAAGGGGUGUAUUUAUUARAUAAAAAACCAAUGCCCUCCGGGGCUCCUUGGUGAUUCAUAAUAACUCAACGAAUCGCAUGGCCUUGCGCCGGCRAUGGUUCAUUCAAAUUUCUGCCCUAUCAACUUUCGAUGGUARAUUAGKGGUCUACCAUGGKGGCAACGGGUAACGGGGAAUUAGGGUUCUAUUCCGGARAGGGAGCCUGARAAACGGCUACCACAUCCAAGGAAGGCAGCAGGCGCGCAAAUUACCCAAUCCCGACACGGGGAGGUAGUGACAAUACAUACUGAUGUGGAGCUCUUUUGGGUUUCACAAUUGGAAUGAGUACAAUUUAAAUCCCUUAACGAGGAACAAUUGGAGGGCAAGUCUGGUGCCAGCAGCCGCGGUAAUUCCAGCUCCAAUAGCGUAUAUUAAAGUUGUUGCAGUUAAAAAGCUCGUAGUUGAACCUUGGGCCUGGCCGGCCGGUCCGCCUCACCGCGUGCACUGGUUCGGCCGGGCCUUUCCUUCUGGGGAGCCGCAUGCCCUUCACUGGGUGUGCCGGGGAACCAGGACUUUUACUUUGAAAAAAUUAGAGUGUUCAAAGCAGGCCUAUGCUCGAAUACAUUAGCAUGGAAUAAUAGAAUAGGACGUCGCGGUUCUAUUUUGUUGGUUUCUAGGACCGCCGUAAUGAUAA